AUUUGGAGAUCCCAUGAAUGUCUGUUGUUUCUGAGAGGUAGUCUCCUUUAGCCAGGAAACGCAAGCAUGUUAGAACCUGGAAUGAUUUAAAGGGGAACAACUCGAUGAAGUAAUAAUACAGUUGUGGCCCUUUUGGUUACUCUUCAUCCUUCUUUCAAAAUAGUGGACAAAUAGAAAUGUUUGCAAGGAUAUCAUUCGGAAUCAUUCUUUGAACAUAACCAACAUAAAUUUCCUCUGUUAAGUCAUAUCCAUAAAAAUACCUGGAUGUGGGCUGGAAUGGCAUGCGACCUCAAAGUUUGUGGCUGUAUGAAGUCUUUGACAUCGUCUGUCAGCUGCAGAAUAACUCGCCUUGGAAAUCUAUAUC
Long non-coding RNA from Magallana angulata, 364 nucleotides. RefSeq lists it as uncharacterized. The record is from RefSeq and is a predicted model, not a curated record. NCBI's taxonomy places the organism in Eukaryota, Metazoa, Mollusca, Bivalvia, Ostreida, Ostreidae. The transcript is spliced from 3 exons.